UUAAAAAACAAUAUGCGGCAAGAGAAGUGAAUGUGACUUUUUCUAGUCUGUGAAAGGACUAAAGACUCCUUGAAGCUGAAUAUCCACGAAAUAUCCAGAAAACAGUCAUCUUGGAACAUACAACUUGAGUCACUCCACAGUCAAAGAUGCCUGACUGCAGCGUCUGCCUAAUUUACCUGGGGUCAUUUAUGAUUUCAUCCGUUGCCCGUCACUCCAGAAGUUUAACUUUGUGUUGAUGACUUCAAUGACGAUUAAGAAGCUGGUAGCCUCUGUUUGAUAACAGAGAAACGCCUGAAAAUUAACCCAGCCACACCCGCAAGUACUGCCCCUCAACGCUGAAUAGUCCUGUCACUUUCUA
Cheilinus undulatus (humphead wrasse) is the source of this 358-nucleotide long non-coding RNA. RefSeq lists it as uncharacterized. NCBI's taxonomy places the organism in Eukaryota, Metazoa, Chordata, Actinopteri, Labriformes, Labridae. The transcript is spliced from 3 exons. The record is from RefSeq and is a predicted model, not a curated record.